RNAcentral lists this ribosomal RNA (500 nucleotides) under uncultured bacterium. RNAcentral describes it as "partial 16S ribosomal RNA". It matches the Rfam family "Bacterial small subunit ribosomal RNA", at positions 30 to 523 of the family's 1533-position model. The record is from RNAcentral.
AUUGAACGCUGGCGGAAUGCUUUACACAUGCAAGCCGAACGGCAGCACGGACUUCGGCCUGGUGGUGAGUGGCGAACGGGUGAGUAAUGUAUCGGAACGUGCCCAGUCGUGGGGGAUAACGUAGUGAAAAUUACGCUAAUACCUCAUACGAUCUAUGGAUGAAAGCGGGGGAUCGCAAGACCUCGCGCGAUUGGAGCGGCCGAUAUCAGAUUAGGUAGUUGGUGGGGUAAAGGCCCACCAAGCCAACGAUCUGUAGCUAGUCUGAGAGGACGACCAGCCACACUGGAACUGAGACACGGUCCAGACUCCUACGGGAGGCAGCAGUGGGGAAUUUUGGACAAUGGGCGAAAGCCUGAUCCAGCCAUUCCGCGUGCAGGAUGAAGGCCCUCGGGUUGUAAACUGCUUUUGUACAGAACGAAAAGGUUUCUACUAAAACUAGGAGCUCAUGACGGUACUGUAAGAAUAAGCACCGGCUAACUACGUGCCAGCCGCCGCCGUAA